RNAcentral lists this long non-coding RNA (783 nucleotides) under Monodelphis domestica (gray short-tailed opossum). RNAcentral describes it as "lncRNA (ENSMODG00000036971.1)". The record is from RNAcentral. Lineage: Eukaryota; Metazoa; Chordata; Mammalia; Didelphimorphia; Didelphidae.
CCUCUAACUGUACCCUCACUCUCCACUUCCUUGGCAGAAGUAUUUAGAAGUUCAAAGCUGUGCUAUGAGAGGAACAAACCAAACUUUCUGAAGGACAGACUACCUUGCUCUAACAGCAUCUAACCAUACAGGUGACUCACCCAGGAUGCUACCCAUGAAGCAAUAAAGGAUUCUGAAGACUUCCUGUAUCAUGGAUAGUAGAGGAGAAAGAACCCUGGAGUUUCAAGUUCCUUGGUCUUGGUUCAAAUUCCAGUGUUUCCCCUUGCUCUUAAUAUAUCUUUAGACAAAUAACAAUCUCUAUGAACCUAUUUCUCCAUCUCUAAAAUGAAGGGGUUGGAUUACAUGGCCUAUAUGUUCCCAUCAAAUUUUAAAUGUAGAUGAAGUCCAGAGAGUGAAAGCCUAUAAGUUCUCAUCUGACUCUUGAUCUGUAGGACCUACAAGGGACAGAGAGCAUAAGUGAUGUGCUCAAGGUCACACAAAUGGAAAAAGCAUAUAAGAUUUGAGCAUAUUGUCAGUGGCACAGUGACAGCACUGGGGGAGUACCAGGUUCACCCUCAGACAUACCUGUUCACUAAGCUGAAAUAGAAUCUUGAUUUCACACCAUAAAGUGAAGAAGAGGAGGGAGGAAGAGAAGGGCAGUGAAAGUGACCUGCUCAUGGUCAUAAGGCAAGUUAAUAGCAAGCCAAGGAAUUACUGCAGGACCUGAAAGAUCUGAUCUGAGUCUGCUGCUCCCAGGUGACUCUCUGCAGUAAUCACAAAAUAAAAUCCUGGGAUCAGAGGCCA